RNAcentral lists this ribosomal RNA (446 nucleotides) under uncultured bacterium. RNAcentral describes it as "bacterial SSU rRNA". It matches the Rfam family "Bacterial small subunit ribosomal RNA", at positions 355 to 825 of the family's 1533-position model. The record is from RNAcentral.
UCGGGAAUUUUGGGCAAUGGGCGAAAGCCUGACCCAGCAACGCCGCGUGAAGGAUGAAGUAUUUCGGUAUGUAAACUUCGAAAGAAUGGGAAGAAUAAAUGACGGUACCAUUUAUAAGCUCCGGCUAACUACGUGCCAGCAGCCGCGGUAAUACGUAGGGAGCAAGCGUUGUUCGGAUUUACUGGGCGUAAAGGGCGCGUAGGCGGCGCGGUAAGUCACUUGUGAAAUCUCUGAGCUUAACUCAGAACGGCCAAGUGAUACUGCAGUGCUAGAGUGCAGAAGGGGCAAUCGGAAUUCUUGGUGUAGCGGUGAAAUGCGUAGAUAUCAAGAGGAACACCUGAGGUGAAGACGGGUUGCUGGGCUGACACUGACGCUGAGGCGCGAAAGCCAGGGGAGCAAACGGGAUUAGAUACCCAGGUAGCCCUGAGCGGGCUGGCAAGGCGCAU